GUUCCUGGGUAACUGACUCGGAGGGUACUGUGGUCACUUUCUAGAGUGCUCAGCUAGACAUAAACCCUUCCUUGGGAACCCCUCCUGCCCCCUGCAGCUACAGCCACCACUGGAGGGGGCCUCUGUGGCCAUAUAUGCUUCCCCUCACUGAUCAGAUUACCGGACACCUGACCCAAGACGGGCAGCAAUCAGAUUCUCCUGGAAAAUCUGAAGAUGGGACCCACAAUUAGAGUUGGUCAGCUGUGGGAAGCUGAGCUGAAAAGUCACGUAAAAUUGAGGCCAAAGCUGGCACCUUGUCAGACAAAGGAAAGCACAUGCUGACGUUACAGGGGAACACGAACCAUGUGGAGCCAGGGAAGCCAACCUGCAGAGAAUAGGAUGGAGCAGAUACACAGAAGCAGAUCGAUGGCAAAGACCAUGUGGCUCCUGAGAGAAAGAGGGAAGAAGGGCCAGUCCCUGGGAGGUCUGUCCUUCCUGCCUUUGAGCCAACUUGGGUGGAUUUCUCCUUCUUACAACUGAAAGAGCCUUGAGCAGGACAGAGCCAAGUGUAAAAAUGACUCCAUUGUUGGCUUUUUGUGGACAUGCUCCUAAUGAACUGAAUUCAAGGUCUCCAUUGCUAUACAUACCAGGCACUUUCCUCCCUUUCAGAGAUGGAAUUUACCUCUGUUCAUCCUACGAGAAUCUGUCAAGGCAACAGAACAGGCCACUAACAUGGCAAACGAGCCCGGACCGGCUUCUCACCUCUUGCCCCGACAGGAGCAAUCUGCAGAUUCCUAGGUGUGCAGAGCAGGGCGAGGCCCGAGUCUCACCCGGCUCCCUGGCCCAGCAUCUAGGAUGCAGCAGGGUGAAAGUCAAUAAAUGUCUGAUGAAAUGCAGUGUCCCCUGUUCUCCCACAUGUACUCCUCUAGCGCAAGGUGUUUCCUCAACAGCAGGACUUAAGAUAUUCUCUAGUCCUCACAUCCAGGGAAGGGGCCUUCGGUUAAUUUACAUCACGCUUCCUUUCGGGCUUGAUUUUCACAUAUACAUAAACAUGCAAAUAUUCAAAUCAUUAACAUACUCUCAUUGUAAAAACACAGACAUAAAGAGAAACUCCCCCUUUCCUUGCCUCACUAUUCUAGUCUCCUCCUCAGAGGCAGCACUGUUAAGAGUUUGGUGUGUUUUGACUUUUUCCUGUGUUUAUAUACAUAUAUGCUUGUGUAGAAAUACAUAUUUUGUUUUGUUUUUAUUAAUAUAAACGGGACCUUACUAUUAACCGUUUUGAAGCUUGCUUUCUACACUUAAGAACACUGAACUCUUUCCAUGUCAGUGUACCUUCAUCCUGCUCAUUCUUUUUAACUGUCGCAGACAUUCCCUGAUACAGAUGAGUCAUAGUUUAAACUUUACCUGUUGAUGAACAUUUUUUUUCUAGUUUUCAUCCUAAUUUUUUUUAAAGCCAGGUUUAUUGAGGUAUACUUUAUCUGCACUAAAAUUUACUUUUUAAAAUGUGCAGAUUAAGUUUUAACACAGUCAUGUGACCACCACCACAACCAGGAUUUCCACUAUGCCAGAAAGUUCCCUUGUGUUUCUUUUCGGUCAACCCUUCCAUGAACCCUCAGCCCCAGCAAACAUGGGUCUGUGUUUUUAUCCCUAUAGUUUUGCUGUUUCCGGAAUGUCAUAUAAAUGGAAGGAUACAGCACGUAGGCCUGAGUCUGGCCUGUUUCGCGUGGCACAAUACAUUAGAGAUCCUUGGUUGUCUUUAUCACUAGAUACUUUGUUUUCAUCGCUGAGAAGUAUUCCAAUGCAUGACUACACCAGUUUGUUUUAUCAAGUCACAAGUUGGUAGACAUUUGGGUGUUUUCCAGUUUUUGGCAAUUUAGAUUAAAGCUGCUGUGAACAUUUGUGUACACGGUUUUGUGUGCACAUAUUAUUCUCAUUUCCUCUGGGUAAAUACCUAGGAGUGGGAUUGCUGGGUUGUACAGUGGUAUGUUUAACUUCACAAAAAAAUGCCAAACUGGUUUUCAAUGUACCUGUCUAAUUUUGCAUUCCCAUGAGUGAUGUGUGAGCGUUUGGUUGCUCUGCAUGCUCAUCAGUGGUGCUGUCAGGUUUCCAAAAUGUGAGACAUUCUGGAAGCAAUCUAACCUCAUCCUGCUGUGGUUUCACUUGCAUUUCCCUAAUGACCAGUAACAUUGAGCAGCUUUUGAUGUGCUUCUUCGGCCAUCUAUACCUUCUUGGUGAGGCGCAUGUUUACAUUUAUUGCCCAUUUUUAAAUUGAGUUGUUUUGCUAUUACUGAAUUUUGAGAGAUCGUCAUACAGUCUAGAUACAAGUCCUUUAUAUGUGUUUUAUAAAUAUUUUCUUCUCUGUAGAAUUCUUAAAGCUCCCUUUCAACAUCAUUGAUGACAGAUUACUUAUUUCUGAAGUGCUAUCAGUGGUUUCAUGCUGUACUGGUGUCUCUUUGGAGACCCACAUUUGAACACGUGGCUGAGUGAAUGCUCACUCAGGUCUCAGCUGUGUCCUUGCGGUGGGGAGGAGGUCACUGGUGGUCUGGAGGGGAAUCAGGCAGUAGGCUAGCUUAAGGAAGGGACUCAUUUGAGAACUGAUUUGGCAGCUUACCAUUGAAUCAUACGUGACUUUUCCAAAGCCUGUAUUUUCUAUUUCCACUGAAUUAACAAAGAUUCCUUAACAGUGUAUCGAACACUUUUGACACAGCUCUAUUCAUUCCUUUCCUAUCCUACAUUCACUCCUCAUGGGAUGAAUACACUAGGCUGAGCCUGCUCUGGGAAACUCAGCUGCUCCAGAUCUCUUAUUUUAUUAUUUUAUUUUAUUUUGGCAAGGAAGAGUGACCUUGAGCUAACAUCUGUUGCCAAUCUUCCUCUUUUUUGCUUGAGGAAGAUUGUCCCUGAGCUGACAUCUGUGCCAGUCUUCCUCUAUUUUGUACGUGGGACACUGCCACAGCACGGCUUGAUGAGCGGUGUGAAGAUCCGCACCCAGGAUCCAAACCCAUGACCCUAGGCCACCAAAGCAGUGUGUGUGAACUUAACCACUAUGCCACUGGGCUGGCCUCUAUUUUAUGUUACUUUUUUUAAAGAUUGGCACCUGAGCUAACAACUGUUGCUAAUCUCUUUUUUUUCCUUUUCUCCCCAAAUCCCCCUAGUACAUAGUUACACAUUCUAACUGUGGGUCCUUCUAGUUGUGGCAUGUGGGACGCUGCCUCAGUAUGGCCUGAUGAGCGGUGCCAUGUCCAUGCCCAGGAUCCAAACCAGUGAAACCCUGGGCCACUGAAGUGGAGCACGUGAACUUACCCACUGGGUCACAGGGCCAGGCCCAUAUUUUUUUUAACUGAAAUAUAUUUGAUAUAUAAUACAGUGUGAAUUUAGGGUAUACAACAUGUUGAUUUGAUAUAUUUAUAUAUUGUGGUAUGAUAGCCAUUGUGGCAAUAGUUAGCACCUCUAUCACAUCACACAAUUAUUUCUUUGUCAUAGUUGGAAUUAAGACCUAGUCUCUUUGGAAGUUUGAUUAUAAUAUUGUUAUAUUUUAUAUAGUUUAUAUAGUUUUAUAUAGUGUUAUAUAGUUGCAAGUCUGUAUCCUUACACAACAUCUCUCUUAUCCCCCAACCUUCUAGCCCCUGGUAACCACCAUUUUACUCUGUUUUUACAAGUUUGACUUUUUCAGAUUCCACAUAUAAGUGAUAUCAUGGAGUAUUUGUCUUUCUCUGACUUAUUCCACUUAGUAUAAUGCCUUCAAGGUCUAUCCACGUUGUUGUAAAUGGCAGGAUUUUGUUCUUUCUCAUGGCUGAAUAAUAUUCCAUUCAUCCAUUGACAGGCACUUAGGUUCUUUCCACAUCUUGGCUAUCGUAAAUAAUGCUGCAAUAAACACAGGAGUGCAUGUAUAUCUUCAAUAUCCUGUUUUCAUUUCCUUUGGGUAUAUACCCAGAAGUGGAAUUGCUGGAUCAUAUGGUAGAUCUGUUUUCAAUUUUUUGAGGAAUCUCCAUAUUGUUCUCCAUAGUGGCUGAACCAAUUUAUAUUCCCAUCAAUAGUGUACAAGGGUUCCCUUUUCUCCACAUCUUUGCCAACACAUGUUAUCUCCUGAUCUCUUAAUGAAAGCCAGUCUAACAGGUGUGAGGUGAUAGCUCAUUGUGGUUGUCAUUUGCAUUUCCCUGAUGAAGAGCAAUGCUGACCACCUUUUCAUGUACCUGUUGACCACUUGGAUGUCCUUCUCCAGCGGCUCCAGAGUUUUCACCUGCAAAUGGUAAGUCAGGCCAACCACCCACCAGCGGCUGGCUUAUCAUCACUAAUUGAGGAAAAGAAUAAGGAGCUCUCUCUACUUUAGCCUCAGCUCUUACGUAGGUCCUCCAGUCCUGCUGGGAGUUACUGGGCCUCCAUUAAUACAGCGAAUUGUUUGAUCCCAUUUAGCUCCCGCUCCCUGUUUAUCUUUACUGAUUAUAGUUUGCAGUGGUGGAAGGGUAAAUGAUUGGGACCUCAAAUCUCUAACACACAAAUCACUAAGGUCACUUCUGACUGAUAUUUUAAUUGAACUAUAUUAAAAUGUGUUCAGGGAUGAAGCAGAGUGAAAAAGUAAGCUGCAAAUAAGGGAGUACUUGGGGUGUUUGCAUCAUUUUGAACUUGUGUGCACAACCAAAGGUGGUUAGCCUAGUUCCUCAUUCUGGGUCCAGGGUGAGAUGACCUGACCCCCAAGUUCUUCCAUCAGACUGAGACUGCAUUUGACUUGUUCAGCCACAGUCAUUUACUACCCCACUGUAUCUGUAAGUACGCUGAAUGUGUGUGGGUUCUCACUCCAGCCACCAUGGGAAGUAAGGCUGCUUCCUAAGGCCCUUGUUCUUCCUGUAUUUCCUGCCUCUUGACUCUUACUGAACUCCUAGACCCCUUCAAAACCCAGCUCAGAUACAAACUCCUUUAAGAAGGCUUUCCUUAUUCCCCAAAGAUGUAAUUAAUCUUUUCUCUCUCUGUGCUACUUCCAUAUUUUACAUAUUCUAUAUAUUAUAAAGCUAAUACUGACAAAGUACUUUCUAUGUGUCAUGCAGUGUUCUAAGUGCUUAACAUAUAUCAACUCAUUUAAUUUUCAUCACAAUUCUAUGAGGAAGAUACUCUCAAUAAUCCUACUUUGCAGAUGAGGAAACUGAGAAGGUAAGUGGCUUGCUCUAAGUCACAGGCUUUGAAUCCACGUAGCUCUUAAAACACUCUGCCAUGCAUUUCUACUGCAGCACUUAAUGCACUAUUUUGCCAUUUAUUUGUUUCCAAGUCCUUUUCAAUACUGUGAGCUCCUGAAAGCAAGGACCUGUCUUAUUUGUUCAUCUCUGUAUCCCCAUCACUUGGCAGUCCCCAAGCUGAUCGACUUCCUUUGUGCUCACUAGGCCAUGGCAGAGACCCUCAACUGUGACCAGCCAAGUCAAAAACUUUCUCAUGAGCCUGGGACUGAACAUCCACAGGGUAGUCUAAGAUGUGACUAAGUCAAGUACAAUGGCCAUUUGCAGUAAUUCCUGAGAAAUAGCUCACCUGAAUCUAGAGCAAAAAAAGGAACCUCACCCCACAAGUAAGAAACCCCAGAACCUGAACAAGAAUUUGGAAAUCAAAUCUCUAAGGCAAAUCAACUGGGGCAGAAUCCACGAUCAACUCUUUCUGAUUCAGAAGAGAUAACUCGGGCUGGCUCCGUGGCCGAGCGGUUAAGUUUGCGCGCUCCACUUCGGCAGCCCAAGGUUUCACCGGUUCGAAUCCUGGGCGCAGACAUGGCACAGCUCAUGAGGCCAUGCUGAGGAGGCAUCCCACAUGCCACAACUAGAACCCACAACUAAAAAUACACACCUAUGCACCGGGGGGCUUUGGGGAGAAAAAGAGAAAAUAAAAUCUUAAAAAAAAAAUAAAGAUAACUUGAGAUUUUGCUACCCUUCAGUGAGGAAAAGUCAAGCAUGAGAGUUAUAUGUCAAUUAUAACUCAAUAAUAAAAACAAGAAAAACAAAGAAACAAACAUGAGAGACUCUGGGCAGGUGAACUGCAGCUGUGGGCAAUCAGCAGCAUAGCACCCAUUAUGUAACACGUAAUAGUAACUAAGAGUCUGCACUCCAGAGGGCUAUCCUGGGAUUUGAAUCCGGCUCUGACCCUGACUACUGUAUGACCUUGGUCAGGUUCUUCAACCUCUCAAUGCCUGAGAUUCUACAUCUAUAAAACAAAGGUAACAAGAGAACACAUGCUGUAGGAUUGUUGUGAGGAUUAAUUGAGUUAUAUGAGAGGAGUUAAUGCUUAGGACAGCGUCUAGCACGUAAUAAGGAUCCAACAAAAACAAGCUAUUUUUCUUCCUGCUUAUUUAGUAACGUAGGCAGAGAGCUGAUGGUAUGUAAGGCACAUUAUCGCAAACAUCUAUCACCUCUACCCCUGGCGCCUGGCACAGAGUGGGCAUCAGUGGGUUUUCACUGAAUGAAGAAUUGCCAAUGAAUGAGCUUUUGUUCAAGGAGAGAAACCAGAAUGGCAAUUAGAAGUAAGACUUAAACGUCAAGAGGACCAGCCCAGUAAACUCUCUAAUUUAGCAUUCUAUAACAAGAUUAACAUAUCACAGGCAUCUAUUGCUAUGUAUUCAUAAUAAUGAUUCUUAGG
Equus caballus (horse) is the source of this 6582-nucleotide long non-coding RNA. NCBI's taxonomy places the organism in Eukaryota, Metazoa, Chordata, Mammalia, Perissodactyla, Equidae. The record is from Ensembl.